This is a non-coding RNA of Peromyscus maniculatus bairdii (prairie deer mouse), 461 nucleotides long. The record is from RefSeq and is a predicted model, not a curated record. NCBI's taxonomy places the organism in Eukaryota, Metazoa, Chordata, Mammalia, Rodentia, Cricetidae.
GUUACCGUGCCAACAGAAAGCAAACCAGAAGCACGAGUCGCAGCAUUUCGCUGUGGCCUUAAUUUGCACGGUGAAACUAACGUUAAGUGCUUUGUCAUGUGAAGAUUUGAAACUUUUCAAAGCACAAGGCUUGGAGGAAGGAAAGCGGUGAAGCCACUUAACCCAUAUGACUUUCCAUGGUUGGCUUUAUGAGCACAUCCCUUUCAAACACGGAGCUGUACGUUGCUGACCCCGUGGAACCAGUACAGAACUGUGAACAGCUUCCUGCCCCUCAACCACAGUGCAAAUGGUGUGCCCUUUAGGUAUGUACUGACACUACCAGGUGUGAUGGUGUCUCCUGGUGGCGUCUCAAGGUGGGACCAACAGGAGGGAACAUACAAGCUCUGUGAACUGGAAGAAAAGGGUAACAACGUGGGCUGCAUAUAUUCACUUAAACAAUGAAUAAAACUACCUCAAUGUCA